CUAGCUGAGCAGGAGAGAUGAAGAACAGGAGCGAAUAAGUUCCAGGGUCGUCAAGAUCCCAUAAUGAGUUGUUUUCAUGACAUGCAUUCUUCCGAGGGGCCUUGCAGAAAAUGAGAACGGACGUCUGUUUGUUCUACGGGGAACAUAAUCAGAGACAAAUAACAAAGUUUGGUAUAUUUUUGGAUUUUUUAAAGGCUCAGGGCCAGUCAACCGAUUUUCCUAUCUAAAUCAUGCCAGUCAAGGUCGGCCCUGUGAUGGACUGGCGACCUGUCUGGGAGGUGCACCGCCCUUUGCCCGCUGUCAGCUGGGAUUUGCUCCAGCUGCCCCCUGAGACUCUCAAAGCAUUAGCGGUAUAGUUAAUGAAUGGAUGUAUAAUGGGUUCUGUGGCUCUGGAGGAACUGUCGCUCUGUCGUAAGUCUACAAUACAAACUGGAGGUGAUGAGAAGGAUGUGUGGACAUUUACCUGUGAGGGAGGGCUCUAAUGACGGAUGCCAUCAAGCUGCAUUAUGGGAAAUGUAGGACUGUAUUUUUCGAACGCGACCCAGAUAGGGACUAACAGUUUAAAUAAAUAAAAUUAUGAAUGAGUCAUGUUUUA
Long non-coding RNA from Pleuronectes platessa (European plaice), 595 nucleotides. RefSeq lists it as uncharacterized. The record is from RefSeq and is a predicted model, not a curated record. NCBI's taxonomy places the organism in Eukaryota, Metazoa, Chordata, Actinopteri, Pleuronectiformes, Pleuronectidae. The transcript is spliced from 2 exons.